CUACUAGAGCACCUGAGCCAAGUAGGUGCUGGAGAUUCAGGACAAACAGGAUGUGCCAAUUCCAGUCCAAAUGCUUGCUCAGCCUUUAGAGACUUAAAACUGCCAAUCCCACACCCAAGCAGUACAGCCUCUAAAGAAGUGUAAAUUGUAAUAUGCUUAAACUUUAGGCAGACAUGGGAUGAAUUUAAAUGCCUAUCCUACAGUGCACUGGCCCAUAGGGAGGAUCAGAGCACUCAGAGAGAUGUUUUAUUAGUCCCAAACUACUUGCUUCCCCCAAAAGUGGGGAAUUGAUUCAGCUGUUGUUUCCUUCCCACUUCCACAGUAUGUGGAGUGUGGAUGGAGAAUGCUAAAGCCAGAAUGAACUUGAGCUGGGAGGCACCAGGAGCAGCACUGAACAAGAGGGCAUGCCAUCAUUGCAAUAGUAGAGGAAGAGGAGUGGUGCUGUGGCAAAAACCUCAUGAAAACUUUAACAUUCAAGAGCACCAUGUGGAUUUGGAGUGUUCCUGGAAGAUUUUGAUUCCAUAGAUGAAAAACAUUAUUUUGGUCACUUGACAUUUGAUUUAAUCCUCUUCCUACUUGUCUCAUGGUAUUUUAAAGGGGAUCUAUAUUCACUUUCGUCAGAUCAAGUCACUUGCAUUACAAAAGAUAAGUACCACUCCUUGGCAUGAAUGAAUUCAGAAAUAAAUACUAAAAAUUAACUUUCUAAUAAUGUAAAAUUCCAAAAUGCCUGCAAUAGGCAGACAAGGUUAUUUGGGUAAAUGUGAUGUUUUUUAUUAGACCAACUGAAAAGUUGGUGUGGGAAAGCCUGCAGUGAGAAGAAUGGGUGCUUUUUUCUCCAUUAAAUGAUCUAUGUUGUAAACACAAAUGAAUGAAAACUGUCUCAAUGAAAUACAACAUGAUCUUAUGUGACAAGAAAGAAUUUUUAAUUUAAUGCAUUAACCCCUUUUUUAAUUGGUUCCUUCCUUUAAUUGAGUCCUGGUCAGUCUAUAUUAAUCUCGGAGGUAUUUAUUUGACAUGGACAGAAACAGACAUCAUAAUGGAACAAAAUGGAAAAAGGAAUAAAAUAUAUAUUACCAAAUAACUUAUUAUGGUUAGGACUUGAUAAGGGGACUCAGAGAUUAGAAGCUGUAGUUAAAUGACCAGUGAAAGUUCAUUCCAACAGUUUAACAUGUUUUUUAAUUAAAGUUAAAAAAAAUAAGAAAAAUGUAAGGCCAAUUGGCAUAUACUCAGUAUUUCUUCAAAAACUAACUACUCCUUUUAUUGUACUAUGUUUGAUUUCUCUUGCAUUUCUUGCAUGUAAGAAAAGAAACCUCAGUUAAAAAUGCAAUGGGUUAUGCUCCUACUUCUUAUCAAGCUUAUAAUGAAACAAUUAUUAAGACUUUAAUUUUUAGAGUAAAACAAACCAUUCCAGUGAAGACUUAAGCAAGUGACCAUCAUUCUAGUUCAAAAACAGAUUACCUGAAUAACUCUCAUGCAUCCGUAAAUCCUCUUGGCACUUACACAUUUAAUCAAACUGCUCUGUGCAUACUGGCUUAUGGACGUAUGUAGUGUUGUGCAUCUCCUUGCUUAUAAAAUGGUUUAUUAAAGAAAUUAAACCUUUCAAAUUUUGGUACUACUGAUCUGCAAAAGAAAAUAAUUCCCAAACAGUGUGUGUAUUAGACAUGCAUAAUGAAUUAAAAAUUGGAAAUCUAGUUGAGUUUUAAAAAUCACUUCUUUCCCCUCCCCCUCUUCCUUCCCCUUCUUUAUUUAUCCUUGGCUGUCUCUUGCCUUGUCCUAAGCAGGGCUACAAAAUAAAGUAGGUAUUCACAGCAGAUGCAUUUAUGCAUGGCUUCUACAAGGAACACUGUUGCCCUUGUUCCUUAUAGCUGAUCUCUAAAUAAUAAUUAAAG
Molecule: long non-coding RNA, 1889 nt
Organism: Gavialis gangeticus (Gharial)
Lineage: Eukaryota; Metazoa; Chordata; Crocodylia; Gavialidae
Exons: 2
Source: RefSeq, a predicted model, not a curated record